Molecule: microRNA precursor, 93 nt
Organism: Anopheles gambiae (African malaria mosquito)
Lineage: Eukaryota; Metazoa; Arthropoda; Insecta; Diptera; Culicidae
Rfam family: mir-981 microRNA precursor family
Source: Rfam
CCUUAUCUGGAUCGGGUUUCGCUGGCUAACGUGUUGUGCGAGCGAGCAAAAAAAACUUCAAUUCGUUGUCGACGAAACCUGCACGGAGUAAGG